Arabidopsis thaliana (thale cress) is the source of this 168-nucleotide non-coding RNA. The record is from RefSeq. NCBI's taxonomy places the organism in Eukaryota, Viridiplantae, Streptophyta, Magnoliopsida, Brassicales, Brassicaceae.
UCUGUAUGUAUGUAUGGUCGAAGUAGGCAAAAUCUCACCUUUCUAGCAGAUCAACAAUGAAUUUUGUGGAAUAGAUGUUGGAUUUGUAAGGUUUUGGUGUUUGCAAGUGUUGAGAUGCGCAAGAUUUGAGUAAGAUUUUUCCUACUCCGCCCAUACCAUACAUACACC